AUUGAACGCUGGCGGCAGGCCUAACACAUGCAAGUCGAACGGUAACAGGAAGAAGCUUGCUUCUUUGCUGCCGAGUGGCGGACGGGUGAGUAAUGUCUGGGAAACUGCCUGAUGGAGGGGGAUAACUACUGGAAACGGUAGCUAAUACCGCAUAACGUCGCAAGCCCAAAGAGGGGGACCUUCGGGCCUCUUGCCAUCGGAUAUGCCCAGAUGGGAUUAGCUAGUAGGUGGGGUAACGGCUCACCUAGGCGACGAUCCCUAGCUGGUCUGAGAGGAUGACCAGCCACACUGGAACUGAGACACGGUCCAGACUCCUAGGGGAGGCAGCAGUGGGGAAUAUUGCACAAUGGGCGCAAGCCUGAUGCAGCCAUGCCGCGUGUAUGAAGAAGGCCUUCGGGUUGUAAAGUACUUUCAGCGGGGAGGAAGGGAGUAAAGUUAAUACCUGUGCUCAUUGACGUUACCCGCAGAAGAAGCACCGGCUAACUCCGU
RNAcentral lists this ribosomal RNA (489 nucleotides) under uncultured bacterium. RNAcentral describes it as "partial 16S ribosomal RNA". It matches the Rfam family "Bacterial small subunit ribosomal RNA", at positions 30 to 506 of the family's 1533-position model. The record is from RNAcentral.